GGAGCGCUUACAAAUUUGUUGACUCACCCAUAUGGGUUAACAUACAUAUAUAUAUAUAUAUGUAUAUAUGUUAACCCAUAUGGGUGAGUCAACAAAUUUGUAAGCG
This is a non-coding RNA of Pelobates cultripes (western spadefoot toad), 106 nucleotides long. The record is from the annotation of a GenBank genome assembly. Lineage: Eukaryota; Metazoa; Chordata; Amphibia; Anura; Pelobatidae.